CCCUUAGAUGUUCUGGGCUGCACGCGCGCUACACUGAAGCUAUCAACACGUUUUCCCUCCCUGAGAAGGGCGGGUACCUUUUGAAUCAGCUUCGUGGUAGGGAUCGGGGCUUGCAAUUGUUCCCCGUGAACCAGGAAUUCCUAGUAGACGCGAGUCAUAAGCUCGCAUCGAUUAAGUCCCUGCCCUUUGUACACACCGCCCGUCGCUACUACCGAUUGAACGUUUUAGUGAGGCAUUUGGACCGACGCAUCUCAGUUUAACCGCUGGUUUGUGUUGGAAAGACUUCCAAACUUGAGCGUUUAGAGGAAGUAAAAGUCGUAACA
This 323-nucleotide ribosomal RNA is filed under the name uncultured eukaryote. RNAcentral describes it as "partial 18S ribosomal RNA". It matches the Rfam family "Eukaryotic small subunit ribosomal RNA", at positions 1470 to 1796 of the family's 1831-position model. The record is from RNAcentral.